CUCUUAAUAUUUCAAUUCCAAAAACCAAAUAUUUGUCAAAAUGGCUUCUCUCAAGCGGUUCUCCCUUACCUAUGUUGUCAUUGCUCUCAUCUUUGGUGUUAUUUUGGCUUCCUCACUUGCGAAUGCUGGUAGAACUAUUGACGGAGAACUGCAACAAGAUAUUGCUGGAACUUUUAAGUGUCGCGGGACGGCCCACAUAUGCAACGGAAGUGGCGACUGUGCUACUAAAUGUAGCCAGCUUGGUUUCCGUCAAGCUAUCUGUACUCCUUUGAAAUCGUAUUUUUUUGGAGAUAAAUAUUGCUGCUGCUAUUAAUCAAGGCAGGCGCCAUUAAUUGCGAUCACUUGCGCUCAUGAAGUUGUAGUUUUUGUUUUAGUUAAUAAGGUAUUUUCUUAGAAUGGAAGAUGAGUUGUUGUUCAUCAUGCAUCUUGAACGUAUCCAUUAGUAUUAUUUGGAACAGCUACUAUCA
Papaver somniferum (opium poppy) is the source of this 467-nucleotide long non-coding RNA. RefSeq lists it as uncharacterized. The record is from RefSeq and is a predicted model, not a curated record. Lineage: Eukaryota; Viridiplantae; Streptophyta; Magnoliopsida; Ranunculales; Papaveraceae. The transcript has 2 exons.